This 992-nucleotide long non-coding RNA is filed under the name Canis lupus familiaris (dog). RNAcentral's name for it is "lncRNA (ENSCAFG00000059203.1)". Lineage: Eukaryota; Metazoa; Chordata; Mammalia; Carnivora; Canidae. The record is from RNAcentral.
GGAGUAAGUAACUCUCAGUUCUUAGAUGAAAAACUUGAAAACUUGAAUCCUAUAGACAGAACUCUCCACCUACAAGUACACUUUUGGUCACCACACUGAUACCGAGUCCAACAUAAAAUCUACAACAAAAAUCAAAAAAUCAACAACAAAAUCUAAAAUUUUGAAGGGCGGCAUGAAGUCGUGUGGCACUUAUCAAAUUCUCAGUGUGUGUCUCUCGUGAAUAAAUAAAUAAAAUCUUAAAAAAAAAAUCUGGGGAUCCCUGGAUGGUGCAGCGGUUUGGCGCCUGCCUUUGGCCCAGGCGCGAUCUUGGAGACCCUGGAUCGAAUCCCACGUCGGGCUCCCUAUAUGGAGCUUGCUUCUCCCUCUGCCUGUGUCUCUGCCUCUCUCUCUCUCUCUCUCUCUCUGUGUGUGUGUGACUAUCAUGAAUAAAUAAAUCUUUAAAAAAAAAAAAUCUGACUUACUGGCUUCUCAUAUGGAAAAAAGUGUAGAUCUCUGCCUACAACAUAAUAGGCACUCAAAGCAACGUCCCCUUUUCCUUGCCUCUGCCCACAGGCGGCCUCCUCCUCUUCCCCGGCUGGAUUGGAGUUUAUGAAACCAUCAGAGCAGGGGAGGACACAACAUGGGCAUGAAGUACUUGAACGUUACCAGUACUUUGCUACAGGAAGGAAGCCGUCACCCCUGGAUCGCGUGCUACCGUCAGGAAGAUGGGUUAGGGAGUGCCGAGCAUAAAGAAACAGCCAAGAAGAUGCAAAACCAAGAGGUAAAGAUGCCAGCAGGCCUAGCUGGGUUUUCUGUGCUGGCAAGCGAGGUCUAACAUGGAAUAUCCAGAAAUCACACUGCAGUUCCACCAUUCUUGAUGUCCUCCCAGCCUGUCAACCAUUGCUGCAGUUACGGACACCUGGAAAAAUUGAGGCUUGUGCUCACCAUCCGAGCAUCUCUGGAAAAUGAGUGAGUGUGAACCCAAUUUGUUGUGCUGGGUGGGACGGUUAAGG